AAGCCCUCGAUAGCCCCCACCUGCUCACUGCCUGUCCACCAGGAGGGAUGGAGAGAUUGUCUCGUCUAGGCCAUGAACCCUAAACCUGUGUCCUAAAACCUUGGAACAUGGACAUAGGCCUGGGAUGGCUGAAUGAAUGAGUGGCCCAGCUGCUCUCCACACUACAAGGCUGCCGUAUGUUACAAGAGCCACAGUUUUCAUUGUGGUGAUCUUCCCCGUCUAACUGACGGACCAGACCCAUUUUCAGUAGUGCUAACAGCUGAGCUGUACCUUCUACAUGGCUGUCUCCUGGUGAAAAUGGCAAUCUCUCCACGCUCACAUCCUGUUCCCAGGCAUUAUCCCAG
This 344-nucleotide long non-coding RNA is filed under the name Mus musculus (house mouse). Its description in RNAcentral is "ilncRNA-EC26". Lineage: Eukaryota; Metazoa; Chordata; Mammalia; Rodentia; Muridae. The record is from RNAcentral.